This is a long non-coding RNA of Spinacia oleracea (spinach), 540 nucleotides long. RefSeq lists it as uncharacterized. The record is from RefSeq and is a predicted model, not a curated record. NCBI's taxonomy places the organism in Eukaryota, Viridiplantae, Streptophyta, Magnoliopsida, Caryophyllales, Amaranthaceae. The transcript is spliced from 5 exons.
GUGAUAGAAGGCCACGUUCGAGGAUUCUGAGAAGGAGUACAACAUUGAUACAUCGGAAGGAUAUUAGAGGGAGCGCUGGGUUCUCACUGAAGAAGGAAGAAUCUAUGCUACUGCAGGCUCUCCUGAAGUGCAAGUAUACCCGGCUAUACCACAAGAGGGUAUCUCGCCAGAUGAACUUGAGGUUCUUUCUUCAAUUGCAUAUUAUCAGAAAAUAUUCAAAUAGCAGCUGUUUGACAGAAUCCUGAUCAUAUAGCAGGCUCAGGGUGUGCUGUGAAGAUUUGGUGGAGAUCCACAACUUAAGUCAAUGAUACACUGGGUUUCAGCAUCUCAGGCUACCUUUAAACAUAUCAAUUAUAGGUGUGGGUUUCCUGUUGCAAAAAAGACUUAUUUGAUCAACUAUACUAUCGUCUUCAUGGUGGUUCUCUCGUAUAAUGUCGUCUUCAUGGUGGUUCUCUUAUAACGGCUGCUACGUCAGGAAAACUAGAACAUUUUAAUGGCGUUUUCAUGGUGGUUCUCUCGUAUACGAUCUUCUUUCCAAAC